AGCGAACGCUGGCGGCAGGCUUAACACAUGCAAGUCGAGCGGGCCCUUCGGGGUCAGCGGCGGACGGGUGAGUAACGCGUGGGAACGUGCCUCCUGGUCUGGAAUAACCCUGGGAAACUAGGGCUAAUACCGGAUACGCCCUUUUGGGGAAAGGUUUACUGCCGGAAGAUCGGCCCGCGUCUGAUUAGCUAGUUGGUGGGGUAACGGCCUACCAAGGCGACGAUCAGUAGCUGGUCUGAGAGGAUGANCAGCCACACUGGGACUGAGACACGGCCCAGACUCCUACGGGAGGCAGCAGUGGGGAAUAUUGGACAAUGGGCGCAAGCCUGAUCCAGCCAUGCCGCGUGAGUGAUGAAGGCCUUAGGGUUGUAAAGCUCUUUUAUCCGGGACGAUAAUGACGGUACCGGAGGAAUAAGCCCCGGCUAACUUCGUGCCAGCAGCCGCUGUAAU
Molecule: ribosomal RNA, 450 nt
Filed under: uncultured bacterium
Lineage: Bacteria
Description: bacterial SSU rRNA
Rfam family: Bacterial small subunit ribosomal RNA
Source: RNAcentral